GUCCACGCCCUAAACGAUGCGAACUAGGUGUUGGGGAAGGAGACUUUCUUAGUACCGCAGCUAACGCGUGAAGUUCGCCGCCUGGGGAGUACGGUCGCAAGAUUAAAACUCAAAGGAAUUGACGGGGACCCGCACAAGCGGUGGAUGAUGUGGAUUAAUUCGAUGCAACGCGAAAACCUUACCUACCCUUGACAUGUCAGGAAUUCUGCUGAGAGGUGGAAGUGCCCGCAAGGGAACCUGAACACAGGUGCUGCAUGGCUGUCGU
RNAcentral lists this ribosomal RNA (265 nucleotides) under uncultured bacterium. RNAcentral describes it as "partial 16S ribosomal RNA". It matches the Rfam family "Bacterial small subunit ribosomal RNA", at positions 793 to 1055 of the family's 1533-position model. The record is from RNAcentral.